Small nuclear RNA from Vulpes vulpes (red fox), 107 nucleotides. NCBI's taxonomy places the organism in Eukaryota, Metazoa, Chordata, Mammalia, Carnivora, Canidae. The record is from Ensembl.
GAGCUCACUCCAGCAGCACAUAUAUUAAAACUGGAAUGAUACAGAGAAGAUUAGCAUGGCCCCUGUGCAACCAUGACACACAAAUAUCUGAAAUAUUCCAUAUUUUU